This 253-nucleotide ribosomal RNA is filed under the name uncultured bacterium. Its description in RNAcentral is "partial 16S ribosomal RNA". It matches the Rfam family "Bacterial small subunit ribosomal RNA", at positions 524 to 776 of the family's 1533-position model. The record is from RNAcentral.
UACGGGGGGGGCAAGCGUUGUUCGGAAUUACUGGGCGUAAAGGGCUCGUAGGCGGCCAACUAAGUCAGACGUGAAAUCCCUCGGCUUAACCGGGGAACUGCGUCUGAUACUGGAUGGCUUGAGUUCGGGAGAGGGAUGCGGAAUUCCAGGUGUAGCGGUGAAAUGCGUAGAUAUCUGGAGGAAUACCGGUGGCGAAGGCGGCAUCCUGGACCGACACUGACACUGAGGAGCGAAAGCCAGGGGAGCAAACGGG